UUUCCGUAGGUGAACCUGCGGAAGGAUCAUUAAAAAAUUGGACUCCAUUGGUGAGUUCAUUAAUAAUCCCUACCCUUUGUGAAUUUGUUUGUUUGAAUAAUUUUUUUUCCAAAAAAAAUUAUUGAAUGUCUUUCCUUGUUUUGGUGGAGCUUGUAAAGUGAAACCAGGCAGGGGAAUGGCAAACAAUAAUUAUUUUUGAAAAAGACCUUUUUUUAAAAUUAAACUUUUUGUAUUCAUUUGUCUAAAAUUAAUUUUUAUAAUAUAAAAACAACUUUUGACAAUGGAUCUCUUGGUUCUCGCAACGAUGAAGAACGCAGCAAAAUGCGAUAAGUAGUGUGAAUUGCAGAAUACGUGAAUCAUCGAAUCUUCGAACGCAUAUUGCACUUUUUUAGUUUACUAAAAAAGUAUGUCUGUUUGAGUAUCAGUAAAAUAUUCUCAUAAAAAACAUUGUUUUUUUUAUGGUUAUGAGUGUUUUACAACGAUAACAAGUUGUUUCACUUUAAAUUCUUUGUUAUCAAAAAAAUCAUUAAAAGCUAAUUUUAAAGAUUUUUUAAAAUUGGAUAAAAUUUUCCCGUAAAAAGGAAUAACCUAAACAAUUUUAAAAAAUUAAAAUUGGUUUGAUUUUUUUUGAAACCCAAAGGAAAAAAAAACGAAAUUAACUUGAUCUCAAAUCAGAUAAGAGUACCCGCUGAACUUAAGCAUAUCAAUAAGCGGAGGAAAAGAAACUAACUAGGAUUCCCUCAGUAACGGCGAGUGAAGCGGGAAGAGCUCAAAUUUGAAAUCUUCAAGGUUUUACCUUGACGAAUUGUAGUUUAAAGAAGUGUUUUCUGUUGGAGUUUUGGUAAAAGUUCUUUGGAAAAGGACAUCAUAGAGGGUGAGAAUCCCGUAUUUGACCAUUAUCUCCAGCUUUGUGAUACACUUUCAAAGAGUCGGAUUGUUUGGGAAUGCAGUCCAAAAUGGGUGGUAAAUUUCAUCUAAAGCUAAAUACUGGCGAGAGACCGAUAGCGAACAAGUACCGUGAGGGAAAGAUGAAAAGAACUUUGAAAAGAGAGUUAAACAGUACGUGAAAUUGUCAAAAGGGAAGCGUUCGACACCAGUGUUGUUUUCUCUAAAAUCAAUUAAAAAAGGCCGGAUUUUGUGUUGUAUUGACUUUAUCAGCUUUCUGCACUCUUUUCUUGUCUUUUUUAAUGCAUUUUUCGUUUAACAAGUCAACAUCGAUUUCUUUUGUUGUAAAAGGGUCAUUGGAAGGUGGCUUUCUUUCCGGAGAAAGUGUUUAUAGCCUUUGGCCUCUGCAAUCGGAGAGAUUGAGGUCUGCAGCGUAGAUCCUUCGGGGUUAGAUACAUUUGUGCUAAGUUAUAGCCUUUCAUAGACAACUUGUUGACUAUGAUCAGUCAUGUAGCUUACUCGCUUAUGCUAUUU
RNAcentral lists this unclassified non-coding RNA (1419 nucleotides) under uncultured Neocallimastigales. Its description in RNAcentral is "partial contains small subunit ribosomal RNA, internal transcribed spacer 1, 5.8S ribosomal RNA, internal transcribed spacer 2, and large subunit ribosomal RNA". The stretch from base 662 to 1419 matches the Rfam family "Eukaryotic large subunit ribosomal RNA", at positions 1 to 617 of the family's 3401-position model. Lineage: Eukaryota; Fungi; Neocallimastigomycota; Neocallimastigomycetes; Neocallimastigales. The record is from RNAcentral.